Molecule: ribosomal RNA, 207 nt
Filed under: uncultured bacterium
Lineage: Bacteria
Description: partial 16S ribosomal RNA
Rfam family: Bacterial small subunit ribosomal RNA
Source: RNAcentral
UGCGUAGGUGGCGCCGUAAGUCAGGUGUGAAAUUUCGGAGCUUAACUCCGAAACUGCAUUUGAUACUGCGGUGCUUGAGGACUGGAGAGGAGACUGGAAUUCACGGUGUAGCAGUGAAAUGCGUAGAGAUCGUGAGGAAGACCAGUGGCGAAGGCGGGUCUCUAGACAGUUCCUGACACUGAGGCACGAAGGCCAGGGGAGCAAACG